CGCCUUGCCAGCCCGCUCAGAAACUUAAAGGAAUUGACGGGGGCCCGGCACAAGCGGAGGAGCAUGUGGUUUAAUUCGAUGAUACGCGAGGAACCUUACCUGGGCUCGAACGUAAGAUGACUGUAGGUGAAAGCUUACAUCUCUUCGGAGCAUUUUACGAGGUGCUGCAUGGUUGUCGUCAGCUCGUGCCGUGAGGUGUCGGGUUAAGUCCCAUAACGAGCGCAACCCCUACCUUUAGUUGCCAUCAGGUAAUGCUGGGGACUCUAAAGGAACUGCCUACGCAAGUAGUGAGGAAGGCGGGGAUGACGUCAAAUCAGCACGGCCCUUACGUCCAGGGCUACACACGUGCUACAAUGGCCGAUACAGAGGGCAGCUACCUGGUGACAGGAUGCAAAUCUCCAAAGUCGGUCUCAGUUCGGAUCGGAGUCUGCAACCCGACUCCGUGAAGUUGGAUUCGCUAGUAAUCGCGCAUCAGCCACGGCGCGGUGAAUACGUUCCCGGGCCUU
This 506-nucleotide ribosomal RNA is filed under the name uncultured Sphingobacteriales bacterium. RNAcentral describes it as "bacterial SSU rRNA". It matches the Rfam family "Bacterial small subunit ribosomal RNA", at positions 903 to 1382 of the family's 1533-position model. The record is from RNAcentral. Lineage: Bacteria; Pseudomonadati; Bacteroidota; Sphingobacteriia; Sphingobacteriales.